CGUGACAGUAAUAAUUGAUUGAAUCUUAUGUCUUUGCUUCUUGUCAAUUCAUUUCUAGGUUACUCACUUAUUGAGACCAAAAAGAACCUUAGGAACUUGGGAGACUCUUACUGACUUUGAAGAGUAUAGCCUCAAAGAAGCAAGGUUAUGAAGCUUCAUUAGCAAACAGUAUCAUUGCUAAAGAUCAAAGACCACCACAAUGGGCCCACAACUCCUGAACCUUAGAGUUGCAGAGGCUUUGAACUUCAUGCCAGAGGCAGUCUCCCUGAAUUUAACUGUUAAUUUCCUGUAACAGUUACCAGAGUCUGCCUGAGGGCUACCCGUCCAUCCACC
Molecule: long non-coding RNA, 333 nt
Filed under: Fukomys damarensis (Damara mole-rat)
Lineage: Eukaryota; Metazoa; Chordata; Mammalia; Rodentia; Bathyergidae
Description: lncRNA (ENSFDAG00000030004.1)
Source: RNAcentral